This is a non-coding RNA of Pelobates cultripes (western spadefoot toad), 2174 nucleotides long. NCBI's taxonomy places the organism in Eukaryota, Metazoa, Chordata, Amphibia, Anura, Pelobatidae. The record is from the annotation of a GenBank genome assembly.
GCAAGCUCUUACUUACCUUCCCAGCAGCUUCCUUUAGCUCCCCUGUGUAAAUCUUCCGGCCUGUGUGCUGCACAGAACGUUGCCAUGGUAACCCGUGGCAAUGCUCUGACGGCCGCUGUACUUGCGAGAUUUAGACAGAGGAGCUGCUGGGAAGAUAAGUAAGAGUUUUCUGCAGGCCCUUCAAGACCGCCGGGCUUGUGAUGGGCCCGGCGGUCCUGGUAUGUAUUAUCGGCAAUAUCGGUAUCUCUAUAGGCCGAUACCUUUAUUGCCGAAAAUACCGAAUAUCGGCCGAUAAUAUCGGUCAGACAGAUUAUUGGUUGAUCCCUAUAGCCGAGUUACUAGUUGAUCCCUAUAGCCGAGUUACUAUUUAACAGAUACAUUUUCCUACUUUAGGAAAAAGAAAGAUGCUGCUAAGGUAGAGCAUUUUUUAUGUAGUUUGGGCGUUGCACUAAGUGUCUUAGGGUUAGGGGCACUUAUGACUGCUGUUCCCUGGCCUAAACUUGAACAAACCAAUGCUGUUUGUCAACCAUUUAGUGUUUUAGUAAUUAGAAUAAGUUGUCCAAGGCAUUCUGGCAAUUCAACUAGAUGUCACUUAAAUUAAAGAUGCAUUCAACAAUGCUGCAGUACAGUAUACAUUUUCCAUAAAUAUCCAUAGUAAAAUGAAAUAUAUAACACUAUUUUGGGCCCAUCUUAUCAAGGGACACUCUAACCACAUUAAAGGAACACUAUAGGGCCAGGAACACUAACGUAUUCCUGACCCAAUAGUGUUAAAUCCGCCAUCUAGCCACCCUGGUCCACUUGGCUCCCUAAAUAUAGUAAAUUAAUCAAUGCAUUUCUAUGAAAAAAGCUCAGUGCCUGCAUGCAGAGGGUGGAGACACUGAAUGGCAGUACUCCACAGUGUGCAGCACUGCCCCAGGAUGCACCUCUAGUAGCCAUCUGAGGAGUGACCAGUGGAGUUAUCCCUAGUGCUGUAAUGUAAACACUGCAUUUUCUCUGAAAAGACAGUGUUUGCUGCAAAAAGCCUGAAGAGAAUGAUUAUACUCACCAGAACAAAUACAAUAAGCUGUAGUUGUCAUGGUGACUAUAGUGUCCCUUUAAGUUGUAGUGGUUCUGAGAAAGGGCAUUGUUUGUACUACUGCCUAACUCCACCACUAUUGGCUUUCUCUCUGAUAGCUAAUAAAGGGACUUAUGGGCAAAGAUUGAAGACCUUUGUUCGUCUUGUCCCCGCUCUGCAUGGAGAUGUCAGACACUCCCCAAUGCAUUUCUAUGAGGAGGUGCUAAUUAGCACACAUCCCUGUUGGGAAGCAUUGGAUUGUCUGAGGUCAUCAUUAGUUAUGUUCUCAAUUGGGGAAAAGCGGUGGCUGCGGCAAUACCAGUGCACUGGAUGACUAUAGGUAAGUAAGGCAUUUUAUUUUAUGACAUACAGGGAUGGCUCUUAAUCUAUAUAGAUAGCUUAACAUGUUUACAUUCCUAAUGGGAGUGUUCCUUUAAAUACAGAGAAAUAUGAACCAAUUUGCUAAAGUGGACUGUAAAUAGUAUAACAUUUUAUUAAAGGAGGAAUUUUGCUUAAAAUAUAUGGAAAAAAAUCAGUGCACCUAGCAUUGCAUUUUUAUUUUUUUUUUUGUUGCUAGCUAUUUAUUUUGUGACACAUUAAUAAAAACAGAUGUUCAUAUCAAAUUCUCUAAACAAAUUCUUGCCAUGGUUUCAGAUUUCAUCCAUUUCAUAUGAGCUGCGAUGACUGUUUCGCCAAAUCAGAGUUCCUCGUUUGUAGCAUAUUGCUUAUGGUCAUCUAAGUAGAAAACUUUUUAUGUAAAAAAAAAAAGUUGACUUCUUAUUUACUGAUGAAAACAAAGGCAAAAUGUAAUUUUACAAUAAAAUUGCAACAUCCCUUAAAAUUAUUUUCAGAAGGAAAUUCCUCCACUUUUUACCUUUGCUUUCUUUUUUUACUUUGUUUUUUUUGGUAUCAUUUAACAAGUAAUAAAAUGAACCAUAUCUUCUGUAGAUUGUUUUUAUUAUAACUACUAUGAAUUUUAUGUAUAAAUCGUAUACAUACCACACAGUGGUAUGUUUUAAAUGCUCAUUUGUAGAUGAGAAUCCAUAUUCCAAUUUAUUUUAGGAAAAUUAAUGUGUCAGCACAGCUUAAAAAAAUUAUUUAUCUUUUCACCAAGAUUCCA